This 327-nucleotide ribosomal RNA is filed under the name uncultured eukaryote. RNAcentral describes it as "partial 18S ribosomal RNA". It matches the Rfam family "Eukaryotic small subunit ribosomal RNA", at positions 1470 to 1796 of the family's 1831-position model. The record is from RNAcentral.
CCCUUAGAUGUUCUGGGCCGCACACGCGCUACACUGAAGGAGGCAGCGUGUACUCCUGGAUCGAAAGAUUUGGGUAACCCGCGAAUCUCCUUCGUGCUAGGGAUUGAGGUUUGCAAUUAUCCUUCAUGAACGAGGAAUUCCCAGUAAGUGCAAGUCAUAAGCUUGCGCUGACUACGUCCCUGCCCUUUGUACACACCGCCCGUCGCUACUACCGAUUGAAUGAUUUAGUGAGGACUUCGGACUGGGACCGAUGCGGCUUUCGGGCUGCGUCGGUAUUCUGGAAAGAUGUCCAAACUGUAUCAUUGAGAGGAAGUAAAANUCGUANCA